UUUUCGACCGCUGUAUUCUCCAG
Molecule: microRNA, 23 nt
Filed under: Rosa chinensis
Lineage: Eukaryota; Viridiplantae; Streptophyta; Magnoliopsida; Rosales; Rosaceae
Description: sRNA RchiOBHm_Chr2g0144265
Source: RNAcentral